This 116-nucleotide ribosomal RNA is filed under the name uncultured bacterium. Its description in RNAcentral is "partial 16S ribosomal RNA". It matches the Rfam family "Bacterial small subunit ribosomal RNA", at positions 1358 to 1482 of the family's 1533-position model. The record is from RNAcentral.
CGCGGCGAAUACGUUCCCGGACCUUGUACACACCGCCCGUCAAGCCAUGGAAGCUGGGUGUACCUAAAGUCGGUAACCGCAAGGAGCCGCCUAGGGUAAAACUAGUAACUGGGGCU